AGGACGAACGCUGGCGGCGUGCUUAACACAUGCAAGUCGAGCGGUAAGGCCCUUUGGGGUACACGAGCGGCGAACGGGUGAGUAACACGUGGGUAACCUGCCCUGUACUUUGGGAUAAGCCUGGGAAACUGGGUCUAAUACCGGAUAUGACCGUGUCCCGCAUGGGGUGUGGUGGAAAGUUCCGGCGGUACGGGAUGGGCCCGCGGCCUAUCAGCUUGUUGGUGGGGUGAUGGCCUACCAAGGCGACGACGGGUAGCCGGCCUGAGAGGGCGACCGGCCACACUGGGACUGAGAUACGGCCCAGACUCCUACGGGAGGCAGCAGUGGGGAAUCUUGCACAAUGGGCGGAAGCCUGGAUGCAGCGACGCCGCGUGAGGGAUGACGGCCUUCGGGUUGUAAACCUCUUUCGGCCCCGACGAAGCGAGAGUGACGGUAGGGGUAGAAGGAAGCACCGGCUAACUACGCGCCAGCAGCCGC
Molecule: ribosomal RNA, 477 nt
Filed under: uncultured bacterium
Lineage: Bacteria
Description: SSU rRNA
Rfam family: Bacterial small subunit ribosomal RNA
Source: RNAcentral